This 572-nucleotide ribosomal RNA is filed under the name uncultured Lachnum. Its description in RNAcentral is "eukaryotic LSU rRNA". The stretch from base 195 to 348 matches the Rfam family "5.8S ribosomal RNA". The record is from RNAcentral. Lineage: Eukaryota; Fungi; Ascomycota; Leotiomycetes; Helotiales; Hyaloscyphaceae.
UCCGUAGGUGAACCUGCGGAAGGAUCAUUACAGAGUUCAUGCCCUUCGGGGUAGAUCUCCCACCCUUGUGUAUCAUUAUAGAAUGUUGCUUUGGCGGGCCGCGCCUAGUGUGCCUGGAUUCGCGUUCAGCGUGCCCGCCAGAGGACCCCUAAACUCUGAAUGUUAGUGUCGUCUGAGUACUAUUAAAUAGUUAAAACUUUCAACAACGGAUCUCUUGGUUCUGGCAUCGAUGAAGAACGCAGCGAAAUGCGAUAAGUAAUGUGAAUUGCAGAAUUCAGUGAAUCAUCGAAUCUUUGAACACACAUUGCGCCCCCUGGUAUUCCGGGGGGCAUGCCUGUUCGAGCGUCAUCUAUACCAAUCUAGCCCGGCUAGGUGUUGGGCUUCGCCGUUUGGCGGGCCUUAAAACCAGUGGCGGUGCUCUUAGGCUCUACGCGUAGUAAUUUUCUCGCUAUAGGGUCCUGGGAGAUGCUUGCCAGCAACCCCAAAUUUUUCUUAGGUUGACCUCGGAUCAGGUAGGGAUACCCGCCGAACUUAAGCAUAUCAAUAAGCGGAGGAAAAGAAACCAACCAAUC